RNAcentral lists this ribosomal RNA (430 nucleotides) under uncultured bacterium. Its description in RNAcentral is "bacterial SSU rRNA". It matches the Rfam family "Bacterial small subunit ribosomal RNA", at positions 335 to 755 of the family's 1533-position model. The record is from RNAcentral.
ACUCCUACGGGAGGCAGCAGUAGGGAACCUUCCACAAUGGGCGCAAGCCUGAUGGAGCAACACCGCGUGAGUGAAGAAGGGUUUCGGCUCGUAAAGCUCUGUUGUUAAAGAAGAACACGUAUGAGAGUAACUGUUCAUACGUUGACGGUAUUUAACCAGAAAGUCACGGCUAACUACGUGCCAGCAGCCGCGGUAAUACGUAGGUGGCAAGCGUUAUCCGGAUUUAUUGGGCGUAAAAGAGAGUGCAGGCGGUUUUCUAAGUCUGAUGUGAAAGCCUUCGGCUUAACCGGAGAAGUGCAUCGGAAACUGGAUAAACUUGAGUGCAGAAGAAGGUAGUGGAACUCCAUGUGUAGCGGUGGAAUGCGUAGAUAUAUGGAAGAACACCAGUGGCGAAGGCGGCUACCUGGUCUGCAACUGACGCUGAGACUCG